UACGGAGGGUGCAAGCGUUGUUCGGAAUUACUGGGCGUAAAGCGUGUGUAGGCGGUGUCUGUAAGUCGGGUGUGAAAGCCCUGGGCUCAACCCAGGAAAUGCGCCCGAUACUGCAGCACUAGAGUCUGGGAGAGGGAUGUGGAAUUCCUGGUGUAGGGGUGAAAUCCGUAGAGAUCAGGAGGAACACUCGUGGCGAAGGCGACAUCCUGGACCAUGACUGACGCUGAGACACGAAAGCGUGGGGAGCAAACAGG
This 254-nucleotide ribosomal RNA is filed under the name uncultured bacterium. RNAcentral's name for it is "partial 16S ribosomal RNA". It matches the Rfam family "Bacterial small subunit ribosomal RNA", at positions 524 to 776 of the family's 1533-position model. The record is from RNAcentral.